AUUAAAAUGCCCUUAAAUCCGAGCUUUAAGCGAUUAUCCCACUACUCACACUUUAAGGCAUUCAAUCGACCUCUUUAAAUUCCAAACUAACCAACUAAAGCUGCAAUUACAAAUAUCACAUCUUCCACCGAUGAGCAGCACAACUUCAACAAGAUCGAGAAGGAAAGUUUGUUUGAAAUACCAUUGCGACAAUGGCUAAUUCCCUCACCCUCCUUGCAGAUCUGAAAUCCGGGCGCUGCUCUUGCUGGGUUUUUGAGAUGGGAACUUUAGGAAAGGCACUUUCGAGGCGAGGAACGUUACGAGAGAUCAGGGUGUGCCAAAGGAGUUGGAACUGCAUUGAAGGGUUCGAUAUGAACCGUUUUAUGCUUCGCCUCCACAAUUGUCAUCUCAAGUACUAUGUUCAGACUUUCCUAAACACAUUGAUAAGCAGGUGCUUAUCCGUAACAAGAAAAGGGGAGAGAUAUAGAAGAAAGGGAGAGAAGAUAAGAUUUAACUUUAGUGAUCAAUUAUGAUAAGAUCAAAUGUCUACAACUCAAGGUAUUAAAUAGAUAAUGUAAGACAUCAUACGACAACGUUUAUUUAAAUAUGAGACUUGGCUCUAAACCUCUCACACAAUCAGAGUCUUUUCCUCCUGUCCUUCUUCCUUCAGCCACUCUUCUUAGUCCUCUUCGACCUGGACCUUCUCUGUGCCAUAGCUAGAGGAACUGCUAGCUUAUCACACAUAUAUGUUGUUCUGUACAUAAAGCUUAUUAUCUUUAGUCCUAAGUUUCUUUCUCUUGAUUCAAAUAUAUACUGAGUUCUUCAUUUAUAUGGGCGUUGUUUGCAGAUGGUUAAUUCACAUAUGCCGUCUUACAUCGUUGCGAUUCCGAUCUGCGCUGCUGUACAGUUAGCUUGAAAAAUUAUGUGUAGUGAACUCAGGAAGAUUACUCUUGAAAAAUAUUGUGGUUAUAGUUUCUUCUUCUUAUUUUGCAAAAUUGGAUAGCUGUUUGUUUACGUUUAAUCACUAUUAGAUCUACCUUUGAGUUUAACUUUUUAUUAGAAAAGAUUUUGUCAAAUGCAGCUGGGGAUUGCAAUUUAUGUAUUGAAUAUUACAAAAGCAUAUGAUGAUUUUGAAGGAUCAUUCUUGCAGGAAGCCAUCAAUAUUGCUGCUAAACUUUGGGUUCUUAAAUGCCUUAUUUAUGACUUAUGAGAUAAGUGACUCAUUUUAUGUCUGAUUCUUUUUUUGACUUGGUUGCGUCACGUAUAAGGUUAUGAGCCCAUCAUCGCCUACUGAAAAGCUUCUUCUGGUACAAUCUCUGAGGAGAAGUGGCCAUGUUGUUGCAGCCACCGAAGAGGGGACAAAUGAUGGUCCUGCGUUGCAUGAGGCCAUCAAACGUAUAGUUCUUUGUGAGUAAAGUGAAAAAGAUUCUUAUGCUUGGAGGAGCUUUCUUUGAAUUACGGAAAGUCAAUCUCACAGAUGAAGCAAAUGUCCAACACCGCAAAACCUCUUCUUGAAUCUUUACAAAUGAUUAAGAAAUGCAGGUUUCAUGUUUUGUGGGUUUUUUCUUAUUGUGACCUGGAAGUAGCUGACGUAAGAAUCUGCUAUCACCACCCAACUUAAACUAACAGGUGAGUUGAACUUCAUUAUUCUUUAUCUUCUUUAAACAUUUUCGAUGUCACAUUGUAAAUUUGUAAUCCGCUGAAAGCAAGUCUCUUUAACUGUUCAGACUUAGACAGCUUACCGUUGCGUGACUCCAAGGAAAACAAGCGAGAUUGUUGAGUGACAUGAAAAUUCUACUGAGACUGGCAUGUUAAUUCUGACGUUUAUGGUAAAGCAAGAAAUAAUUUUGUGGCAUAUGAGAUUUUGACGUGGCAUAUAUAGCAGUCCGGUAUUUAUAAGGAGGAUGCACAUGGUUUGCGCCUAUCUUCCUAACAUUUGUCAUGAUUUUUCUUAAAUUGUGAAAUAAUCUAAUAUCAGUUACACUUUCUCUAUAGAAAAUACAAUUAUUCGUUUAUCUUACUGCAAUUUUUUAGGUGAAUUUAUUAGAGAAUAGUAUCACACAAUCCUUUUUCUUUGUCAUACUCAUAUGUCGUUUUUGUUAACACUACAAUUUUGUUGAUAAUAGAAUUACUGUUGUUAAUGAUGCUGGUAUUUUUCUUAAAGAAAGGUCUAUAUCUCAUCUGGUUUUGUUCCAUAUAAACUUGAAAUUAAGUAAACUUCUUAUGCUGUACUUAUUUAUGAAGAAGAGUCAGGUCUUUGUGUUUAGUAAAUUGCAUAGGGUGUGGUUUGUAUGAUAUAUCAAGUUCUAGAGGUGAAUUGCGUACAAAAAUGUUUUUUUGGUUUGGGUCUAAUUUGUAAUGUUGUUUCUGAUCAUAAACCGGUUUGAGAAAAUAGUAUUUGUCGGUUUGUCAUAUUCGUAUGGUAAAUAACUAAAUAUAUUCUUACGGUUCUCUCGGUUUGCAAAUAAAAAUAAUUGUAGUUUUUUUAAGUGUACUUCUGUGUUCAUCUAACAAUUCAGGAUCCAAAACAACUAACAUCAAUUGACUGUUUUAGAAACUUAUUUAUACUUUAGAAAAAUCACAUACACGUCACUAAUUUCAACAUUUUUAUUUUCAUAUAAUGGGGACUAUACGACACCAUCUAAAUUGAGAACUUUAGAAAUAAAAUCACAAUGAUGUUAAAAAGUGUCUAAAAACGGUUAAACUAUGUACUCAUUUAUUUAGUGUUCUCUUUUAUUUGUCAAAAAGAUAGUUUUUAGAAUAAAAAAUAAAUUCUUUCAAAUAGAGAAAGAUCAACUAAUAAAAUAUAUCUUAAAACACUUCGAGUUCUAAAUCAUAAAUAUAAAAAACAUUAAUAAAAAGUAAUCUCUCAUAUAUAUAUAAAUGUUUCUUUUGAAAUUCAUAAGAUAUAAUAAAAGAUGUAACACUAUCAAUUAAAAAAUACAGUAAAAACACUACCAAUAACAUAUGUCAAUAAAUAUUAUAAUUUUGACAAUUUGUUUUCCACUUAAAUCCGUAGUACACAAAUUAUGAUUUUUGUUUUUCCCUUAAAAGAGAAAAGAAAUAUCAUACUUUUUGUACUACUGAGUUAAAUUGAAAACAAUUUGUUGAAAAUAAGUAGCAUUCAUCCUUUCAUAUAUAUAUAUUAACAUAUUGAAUCACCAAGCAGGCUUAUUAUAACUUGGCUAAGUUAUGAUAUUUCAAAUUUAGCAGUGUGGUAUGCUUCUCUCUGGACAGCAAUUCAAUGCAGACGCUGCCAACACAACGCAAAUUUCCAAAAUUAGAAAAAAAGCAAUUUCUCCUGCAUUCUUAAGGAAAAAGAUGAAUAUUUUAAUUUAUAUGCAUACAAUAUUUACAUCUUAUGUUUAAACCGGUUUCCCUCAAACUUUGAUCCUCCACCCGCAAUUAAAUACCAUUCUACACAAUAUAUUACAGACUUCAAGAGCUUAUUGUAAACCACCAGAGCAUGGUAUGUGAGGGCAACAUGAAUGCCCAUUAGGCUCAGAAUGAUGUAUUUUUAAUCCCAAUCAACAGAAUACGAUUAAUUUCUACAAGAAACAAUAAAGUUAUUUACAAAAGAUAAUUAGUAAAACACUCAAAAUUAAAGAAAAUUUCACUAUAAAUUCAAAAUUGAAUAUAAACUGAAUAAAACAUAUAUUAUAAAACAUCAAUUGGUGUUACAUAAUAUAUUAUAAGUAUUAUUUAUGAAAUUAUUAAAACUAUUAAUAUAUUACUUUAAAUAUAAAUUUUAUAAUUUUAUCACAUUAAAGUUGAUUUAGCUUGGAAGUGGGUGUAUUAAUUUAUUAUCGUGAGAAAAUUGGUUAUUAAAAUAAUAUUAAAAUCUGAUACUCUUAGAAACAAAAAAAUUACUUAUUUUCACUUUAGAUUUUCUUCAACUAUAUCAAAUUGAAAUAGAAAUCAAAUAGAAAAAAUAUAAAUCAUUACAUUUUCCAUUUAUUUAAUUUAAAAUUUUUAUGUUCCAAAAUAAAAACAAUGUUAGUUGUUUUUUUUCAAAUCAAAACAACAAAGUUUAAUACAUUACAAUUUGAUCUUAAAAUAAAAAGAUAUUAUAUUUAUUAGUUUCAAUAUAAAGUAAAUUUUCAAAUAUUUUAUAAAAUUAAAAUUAUUUUAAUAUAAAAUAGUUUUAGUGUAAACUCUCCCGCCCGUAGGGUGGACCAACCCCUAGUACAUGUAAUAGAGACGAAUUAAAUAAGAUGAAUGAAAUGGAAUGGAUUUCCUUUGUCAAAAUUGUUUUGGAAUGUUUUUUUUAGAAUUGAUAGAAUGAACAUUCCAUUCCAUUCAUGUUAAAUGAUAACAAAAAAUUAUGGAAUUGAUCAUUCCAAAGCAUUUCAUUCCAAAAAUAGUUAAUCCCGUUCUAAAGGCUAAUAAGCAAAAACAAAGUAUUAGUAAAUUUUGAUUUAAUUGUUUAUCCUUAUAGAUUCUAACCGAAAAAUCCAAAUAUCUAUAAUUCUAUCAACAAAGAAAUAUUAAUAUAUAAUACCAUAAGAAACAGAACAAAUCACAAAUACUAAUAGUAUUAAAAACGAAUAUCCAAUCUGAUACUUUAUAUACAUACUAAUAUUGACUCUAUGCUCCGCAUGAAAAUAUUUUUCUUGCAAAUAAAUACAUUUCAGUCACUAAUUUUUUACUACUUAAUGUAUAUUACUAUAACUAUUGAAUAUAUAUAUGACACAAAUUAUUAGCUCAUUUCAGAGAUGACUAAACCAUGGACAAAAAAAACUAACUAUGCAACGUGGAUUGAAUAUUUUUUGUCACAUGUUAAUUUGAAAUUCCAGUAAAAGAAUUAUAAAUAUAAGUGGAUAAUCCCUUAUUUUGAAGAACACAUAAUCAUAAUGAUUUUUCCAUGUUUCAGUUUACUUUAACUCGUUUCUAAUGUUAUAUAUGUGUGUAUAUAUAUAUAUAAGUAUACACACGGAAAGCAUUUACCUUCUUUAUUAAAAAAAUUAUUCUUUUGAGUUUACAAACAGUUGCAUUCAUUUGUGAUUGACAUUUGGAAUGCUUUCAAAUUAUUUUUAGAAAUUUUUACGCUAGAGACACUUUCCCACUUUCAAAUUACACUACAAGACACUUAUCACUUUCGACACACUUUCUUUUAUCAAAAAGACUUUUAUGACCCUAAACUAAAGAGAAUCUUUCUCCUUUUCUUAUUUCAUUUUAUUAUUUUUCUUAUUCUACUUUAUGUAUUUAUUUACUUUUAUCUCAAGUUCUAAAAUAUAUUAAACAAAAAUAAUUGUCAUAAUAAACUAUAUAUAAGAUUCUCUAUCUUUUAAGAUCCAUGUUCAUAUAUAUAUAUAUAUAUUAAUGUGUAAACAAAAUGUGGACGUAGACACGAGGACUGUCUAAAAUUCAUAUAACAUGAAACCAAACAAAUAGUUUUUGGUUAUCAUUGAAAAAUCUAAAAACUUAAAGCAUUUUAACCGAAUAAACAUAAUAUAUAUUGAUUUAGAAUGAUAGUUAUAUUUUAGUAGAUUAAAAAUAAAAAUAAAACUAACAUAAAACCAAACUGAUUUUGAGAUUAAACAUAUCUAAUAUCUUCUUAUCCUAAGAAAUAAAGAAAUUAAUAAUUUUGCUCCAUGCAAGCUGCGGGUUAUUACCUAGUGUUAUAUUAUAUAUAGUAUGUCCAUUAUAGACCAUUCAUUUAUCAAAUUGAAAUUAUUAUAUAUUCUUUCCAUAAAUAAAACCUACAGAGUCACCGAAUGUGAUUGAUAUAUAUGGCAAUUAAUGAUUUUAAAUAAUAAAUAUUUGAUAACAAUUUGUAUACUUGAUAUAAUUUUGUUUAAUUAUUUAUUAUUAAAAUAAAGGGAAAUACCCCAGGAUAGUACUAAAAAAAUUUAUGUCACAAAUAUAGACUCUAAGGAUCAAAUUGACCAAAAUGUUUCAUUAAA
Molecule: long non-coding RNA, 5885 nt
Organism: Brassica rapa (field mustard)
Lineage: Eukaryota; Viridiplantae; Streptophyta; Magnoliopsida; Brassicales; Brassicaceae
Source: RefSeq, a predicted model, not a curated record